Molecule: long non-coding RNA, 136 nt
Filed under: Felis catus (domestic cat)
Lineage: Eukaryota; Metazoa; Chordata; Mammalia; Carnivora; Felidae
Description: lncRNA (ENSFCAG00000050349.1)
Source: RNAcentral
GAGCUCUGAGAAGAGGGGGAGGACAACGACCUGCACCUUGAGCCUGUGAAGGGUGUGACUCUUCUCCAGCUAAAGAACUGUUCUUUGGUGUAAAGGAUAGAAUUUCCUGAGGACCUCUGCUGUGUGGGCUGGCUGA